This 487-nucleotide ribosomal RNA is filed under the name uncultured bacterium. Its description in RNAcentral is "partial 16S ribosomal RNA". The record is from RNAcentral.
GUAGUUAGCCGGGGCUUCCUCCUUGGCUACCGUCACUUUCUUCGUCACCAAGGACAGAGGUUUACAAUCCGAAGACCUUCUUCCCUCACGCGGCGUUGCUGGGUCAGGCUUGCGCCCAUUGCCCAAUAUUCCCCACUGCUGCCUCCCGUAGGAGUCUGGACCGUGUCUCAGUUCCAGUGUGGCCGAUCAGCCUCUCAGCUCGGCUACCCAUCGUUGGCUAGGUGGGCCGUUACCCCGCCUACUACCUAAUGGGACGCGAACCCCUCCUUCUGCGGAUUGCUCCUUUGACCCCUGAGCCAUGCGACUCUGUGGUCUUAUGCGGUAUUAGCACUUGUUUCCAGGUGUUAUCCCCCUCAAAAGGGCAGGUUGUUCACGCGUUACUCACCCGUUCGCCACUAGCUAUAAAUCCGAAAACCUAUAGCCCGUUCGACUUGCAUGUGUUAGGCACGCCGCCAGCGUUCGUCCUGAGCACGAUACAACUACUCGA